Molecule: ribosomal RNA, 208 nt
Filed under: uncultured bacterium
Lineage: Bacteria
Description: partial 16S ribosomal RNA
Rfam family: Bacterial small subunit ribosomal RNA
Source: RNAcentral
CUCGUAGGCGGUUCAGCAAGUCGGCUGUGAAAUUUCGAGGCUCAACCUCGAAACUGCAGUCGAAACUGCUGUGACUCGAGUCCGGUAGAGGGGAAUGGAAUUCCCGGUGUAGCGGUGAAAUGCGCAGAUAUCGGGAGGAACACCAGUAGCGAAGGCGGUUCUCUGGGCCGGCACUGACGCUGAGGAGCGAAAGCGUGGGUAGCAAACA